Molecule: ribosomal RNA, 261 nt
Filed under: uncultured archaeon
Lineage: Archaea
Description: partial 16S ribosomal RNA
Rfam family: Archaeal small subunit ribosomal RNA
Source: RNAcentral
UAGCCGUAAACGAUACUCGCUAGGUGUCGGCCACGGUGCGACCGUUGUCGGUGCCGUAGGGAAGCCGUGAAGCGAGCCACCUGGGAAGUACGGCCGCAAGGCUGAAACUUAAGGGAAUUGGCGGGGGAGCACCACAACGGGUGGAGCUUGCGGUUUAAUUGGAUUCAACGCCGGAAAUCUUACCGGGACCGACAGCAACAUGAAGGCCAGGCUGAAGACUUUGCCGGAUUAGCUGAGAGGUGGUGCAUGGCGUAGUCGUGU